RNAcentral lists this ribosomal RNA (460 nucleotides) under uncultured bacterium. Its description in RNAcentral is "partial 16S ribosomal RNA". It matches the Rfam family "Bacterial small subunit ribosomal RNA", at positions 338 to 795 of the family's 1533-position model. The record is from RNAcentral.
CCUACGGGUGGCAGCAGUGAGGAAUAUUGGUCAAUGGCCGGAAGGCUGAACCAGCCAUGCCGCGUGAAGGUCAGUGCCCUAUGGGCGUUAAACUUCUUUUGUGCGGGAGCAAUAAUGGUCACGUGUGGCCAGACGAGAGUACCGGAAGAAUAAGAAUCGGCUAACUCCGUGCCAGCAGCCGCGGUAAUACGGGGGAUGCAUGCGUUGUCCGGAUUUAUUGGGUUUAAAGGGGGCGUAGGCUGUGAGGUAAGUCAGGGGUGAAAUGCCACCGUUCAACGGGGUGAAGUGCCAUGGAUACUGCCGUGCUGGAAUGCGGAUGCCGUGGGAGGAAUGUGUGGUGUAGCGGUGAAAUGCAUAGAUAUCACACAGAACACCGAUUGCGAAGGCAUCUCACGAAUCCGCGAUUGACGCUGAUGCACGAAAGCGUGGGUAUCAAACAGGAUUAGAUACCCGGGUAGUC